RNAcentral lists this ribosomal RNA (459 nucleotides) under uncultured bacterium. Its description in RNAcentral is "partial 16S ribosomal RNA". It matches the Rfam family "Bacterial small subunit ribosomal RNA", at positions 339 to 795 of the family's 1533-position model. The record is from RNAcentral.
CUACGGGGGGCUGCAGUGAGGAAUAUUGGUCAAUGGCCGAGAGGCUGAACCAGCCAUCCCGCGUGCAGGAUGACGGCCCUAUGGGUUGUAAACUGCUUUUCUACGCCAAGAAAUCUGAUUACGUGUAAUUAGUUGACGGUAGCGUAGGAAUAAGCAUCGGCUAACUCCGUGCCAGCAGCCGCGGUAAUACGGAGGAUGCAAGCGUUAUCGGGAUUCAUUGGGUUUAAAGGGUGCGCAGGCGGGCUUGUAAGUCAGUGGUGAAAUACUGCCGCUUAACGGUAGAACUGCCAUUGAUACUGCAAAUCUUGAAUAUGGUUGAGGUAGGCGGAAUGUGUUGUGUAGCGGUGAAAUGCAUAGAUAUGACACAGAACGCCGAUUGCGAAGGUAGCUUACUAAGCCAUUAUUGACGCUGAGGCACGAAAGCGUGGGGAGCGAACAGGAUUAGAUACCCGCGUAGUC